GUCGCUGGAAUCUCUGAGUUGGCGUGAAUACCAGUCCGUCGUAGUGUUGGAGAGACCUUGAAUAUAUUCUGCCGUGACUGAAAUGCCGUGUCUCAGGCAAAAUUGCCAGCAAUCACGAGGCAUGUAGGUCAGAAUUUUGUAUUUUGUGCCUCCAAGUGAUUGAUGUAGCGGACUGCUGACACGUUGUCCAUCUUCAGAAGAAUAGUGCAUUGGGCUUGAAUUGUGGAGAGACUAUGGACUGCAAAGGAACCGGCCAGAUGUUCCAAACAAUUGAUGUGGAGUGUUGAUUCCAGGUUUUAUUAUCUGCCCUUGGUGGAAAUAGUUCCGCAUUGAGCACCCCAACCGUGCAAACUUGCGUCGGAUUUGAUUAUCAAAUCCUGAGCUGUACAAAAUAUGGUGUGCUUAUUCCAAGCUUCCAUGUGAAGAAGCCACCAUUGGAGUUCAUCCUCCGCUUCUGAGUCCAGAGUUACCAUAUCUGUGUAUGAUGCGCUGCCCUUGAGAUGAAGUUUGUAAUCGUUGUAGGGCUCGAUAGCCAAGAAGACCUGUAGAAAUGGCCUAUAUAGAUGCCGCUAGAAGGCCUAACAUUCUCAACAGUUUGAGAGAGAGUUGAGAGGUUGCUAGUGUUCGCCUAUCUCCUUCUUUAUAUUGGCUAAUUUUGCCACCGGAGGGUGUAGAGUUUGAAGGGUAGAAUCUACAAUAAUCCAAUAUACCCCAGAAAUUGUAUUUGUUGCGUAGGAACGAUAAUGGAUUUCUCCCAAUUGGUCAGGAAGCCUAGG
Molecule: non-coding RNA, 776 nt
Organism: Pelobates cultripes (western spadefoot toad)
Lineage: Eukaryota; Metazoa; Chordata; Amphibia; Anura; Pelobatidae
Source: the annotation of a GenBank genome assembly